This 465-nucleotide ribosomal RNA is filed under the name Vreelandella stevensii. RNAcentral's name for it is "partial 16S ribosomal RNA". It matches the Rfam family "Bacterial small subunit ribosomal RNA", at positions 338 to 795 of the family's 1533-position model. The record is from RNAcentral. Lineage: Bacteria; Pseudomonadati; Pseudomonadota; Gammaproteobacteria; Oceanospirillales; Halomonadaceae.
CCUAGGGGCGGCAGCAGUGGGGAAUAUUGGACAAUGGGCGAAAGCCUGAUCCAGCCAUGCCGCGUGUGUGAAGAAGGCCUUCGGGUUGUAAAGCACUUUCAGUGGGGAAGAAAGCCUUGGGGCUAAUACCCUCGAGGAAGGACAUCACCCACAGAAGAAGCACCGGCUAACUCCGUGCCAGCAGCCGCGGUAAUACGGAGGGUGCGAGCGUUAAUCGGAAUUACUGGGCGUAAAGCGCGCGUAGGCGGUCUGAUAAGCCGGUUGUGAAAGCCCCGGGCUCAACCUGGGAACGGCAUCCGGAACUGUCAGGCUAGAGUGCAGGAGAGGAAGGUAGAAUUCCCGGUGUAGCGGUGAAAUGCGUAGAGAUCGGGAGGAAUACCAGUGGCGAAGGCGGCCUUCUGGACUGACACUGACGCUGAGGUGCGAAAGCGUGGGUAGCAAACAGGAUUAGAUACCCCGGUAGUC